Molecule: small nuclear RNA, 105 nt
Organism: Peromyscus eremicus (cactus mouse)
Lineage: Eukaryota; Metazoa; Chordata; Mammalia; Rodentia; Cricetidae
Source: RefSeq, a predicted model, not a curated record
GCUUGCUUCAGCCGCACAUACACUAAAACUGGAACUAUACAGAGAAGAUUAGCAUGGCCCCUGCACAAGAACGACACAAAAAUUUGUUAAGCAUUCCAUAUUAAA